RNAcentral lists this ribosomal RNA (255 nucleotides) under uncultured bacterium. Its description in RNAcentral is "partial 16S ribosomal RNA". It matches the Rfam family "Bacterial small subunit ribosomal RNA", at positions 524 to 776 of the family's 1533-position model. The record is from RNAcentral.
UACGAAGGGGGGCUAGCGUUGCUCGGAAUCACUGGGCGUAAAGGGUGCGUAGGCGGGUCUUUUAAGUCAGGGGUGAAAUCCUGGAGCUCAACUCCAGAACUGCCUUUGAUACUGAGGAUCUUGAGUUCGGGAGAGGUGAGUGGAACUGCGAGUGUAGAGGUGAAAUUCGUAGAUAUUCGCAAGAACACCAGUGGCGAAGGCGGUCUGCUGGGCCGUUGCUGACGCUGAGGCGCGACAGCGUGGGGAGCAAACAGG